RNAcentral lists this ribosomal RNA (315 nucleotides) under Macrostylis sp. ML08. RNAcentral describes it as "partial 16S ribosomal RNA". The record is from RNAcentral. Lineage: Eukaryota; Metazoa; Arthropoda; Malacostraca; Isopoda; Macrostylidae.
UAAACUUUUUUAACCUAUCCUUAGAAAUUAAUAUCUGCAUCAAAAAGUGCAGCUUGGUUGAAGGGACGAUAAGACCCUAUAAAGCUUUAUCAUUUUCUCUAAAAGUUUUGAAUCAAAAAAUAGAGGGGGGUGAUUGAACUGGGGCGGUAUCUAAUACUCUUUAGAAAAGAUAACACGUAAAGUGAAAAGCUUUAUCCUAAAUGGAAUAAAAGUUACUUUAGGGAUAACAGCGCAAUUUCUUAAGGUGGUAACAUUUUAUGAAGACUUGCGACCUCUAUGUUGAAUUGAGGGGCCAGGCUCCUUUUUGAAGUCUUG